UGGGGCUGUGAGUAGGCCUGGAUCGAGAUUGGGGAGGGAAAACGAAACGAAAAACCCUAAUCGAUUGCUGAUUGUUUCUCCCCACGGUAACUCUGCGUCGUUGCUGAUGGUUCUUGCUUUUCCGUCUAUGCCACCUCACUCCUGGUAUUCUUCAUCCAGGUCUUUAUAUUUAAAGAUUCAUUGUCAUUGAAGUGGUAUUCUCAAUCCAUGUCUUUAUUAUAUGGGGCCUUUAAUUCAUUUUUCUGCAAUUUUGGGGAAAUUUCAACUCUUUCAUUUUGAUUUCAUCAUUUCUUGUUGGAGAACUAUGAAUUUCGUGAUUUCAUUGCUCAAUUCAUUUUAAAUAUAGCAUUAUUCCCAAUUUCAAGUAGGUUUUUGAUCUGUUUUUGUGUUCCCUCUAAGUCUAAAGAUACACAGGCACUUAGACUCCUUGAUGAUCAAAGGGACAGCUGUAGAUGAACUCAUGAACGUGGUCUAUAUGCUCUUUGAUGGAUUGGAACCUGGAACAUCAACUGUUUCAGUUGUCACAAGAAGAAUAUUAUGACCAUUGGAGCUCAAGACAGCUUGCUGCAGCUGCGAGCCAAACUUAUCGAAGCAAGGCAUACUAAGAAUCAGAGGACGAGAAGAAAGGAGAAAGAGGCGCAGGCGCAGGCGCAGGAGAGAGUAUACCUUCUUUGGUCUUUGUCUAUUCCGUUAACUAUUGCUUUUGUUAGAACUGAAAUAUACAUUAUGCUCUUCAAGAACACUAAUUAGGGGUCAUGUGUAAUUAUAGGAUCAACCAACAUGACAAGACUGGGUCCUUUGAAAUCAAUUUGAAACUAAGUUUUUUUUUCUCUUUUGUAUAAUUAUACUGUAUAGCCUUGUACAUAUAUGAAAUCUUAUAAAGUUGACUUUGUGAUGA
Helianthus annuus (common sunflower) is the source of this 898-nucleotide long non-coding RNA. RefSeq lists it as uncharacterized. The transcript is spliced from 3 exons. Lineage: Eukaryota; Viridiplantae; Streptophyta; Magnoliopsida; Asterales; Asteraceae. The record is from RefSeq and is a predicted model, not a curated record.